UUUACCACUUAGAAAGCCGAAGCCGCUUUGAAGUAUUACAAGGGGUACAGAGGAAACACUGACGAAGAAAAAAGAGCUCUGUACAGGGAAUUCGAUAGACUAAAAUCAAUUGCAACCGGGCGAAAAACGGAUGAAAAGCUUCAAGUAUCAGAUUUCUUUAAUCGAACGGCAUUGAAAGGACUUGGAAUUGGUUCUGCGUUGUGUACAAUAGUUCAGUUCUCGCCAAGUUUGAUCAUUAUUUCUUAUUCAUUGAUGAUAUUCGAGAAAUCUGGAACAACGAUCGAUCCAUAUGUAUCCUCAAUUAUAUCGGCGGUGGCACUUAUCUUUGGUUCAUUAAUCACUACUUAUUUGGCUGAUAAACUUGGACGAAAAUUGUUGAAUUUAAUAUCGUUGAUAGGCUCUGCGGUCGGGUUAUUCGCAAUUUCAUUGUAUUAUUAUUUGCAUAUAAACGGCUGUGACUUAUCAGCAUUUGCAUGGGUGCCUGUGACGAGCUUAUCUUUUGUGAUUUUUAUAUCAUCAGCUGGAAUUACACCGCUAUGCAUCAUAUGCGCUGUGGAAUAUCUCCCACCAAAGAUUCGAACAAUGGGAUCAGCAUUGAUCAGUGUGGUACACAGUGCAGCUUCUUUUAUAACAGUAAAAUUAUUUCCCAUUUUAUUGGAGAUUGUCGCUUUGCACGGUUGUAUGGUUAUUUUGGGCAUUGGCUGCAUCAUUGGAUCUUUAUUCAUAAUUUUUGCUAUGGAAGAAACUGCCGGUCAAUCCCUUGAUGAUGUUGACACGAAUGAAAAAAUGAAAAUGGAACCAAUUCACGGAGAACCGCUUUUGAAAGCAGCAAAAUAGAUUGUAAAACAAAAAUAAAACGCAUUCAAAAUAGACUCUGGGAAGAAUUUUCAUUUACUUGAA
This is a long non-coding RNA of Sitodiplosis mosellana (orange wheat blossom midge), 900 nucleotides long. RefSeq lists it as uncharacterized. The transcript has 3 exons. Lineage: Eukaryota; Metazoa; Arthropoda; Insecta; Diptera; Cecidomyiidae. The record is from RefSeq and is a predicted model, not a curated record.